Molecule: transfer RNA, 78 nt
Filed under: Candidatus Peregrinibacteria bacterium RIFCSPLOWO2_01_FULL_48_20
Lineage: Bacteria; Candidatus Peregrinibacteriota
Description: tRNA-Ser
Rfam family: tRNA
About the family: Transfer RNA (tRNA) molecules are approximately 80 nucleotides in length. Their secondary structure includes four short double-helical elements and three loops (D, anti-codon, and T loops).
Source: RNAcentral
GGGGCUGUAGCUUAAUCGGUUAAAGCAUCUAGUCUUGACAGCCAGAGGAUGCGAGUUCAACUCUCGUCAGCUCCACCA